CAAAGUUUAUGAUACUAUCUCCCGAAGUUAUAUUUUAUUGCUACCUGUUGAUCGCUACUGUUUACUCUUAAGGUUUAUAGUUUCCAUAAAAAUACUGUGAGAUAAUUUAUACAAGAGCUGGUUCCUGGUUUCCAUUAUGUAAUUCUUCAGUAGGUAUGAUGAGCCUAAUAUCACAGAUCAAGUUUUAAUAACUUAUAUUAUGAGUUGUUUUUAUUUAUUGUAUGGUUUUGGUGGUAUACCUAUACAAAACAUAACUACUGAAAGAUUUAUAAAACCCAUGAAGUACUGGCAGAUAAUGUAGUUGUUGAUAUUGAUAGCGAAUGUGUUAACACAGAAGAUAUUCCAUUUAUGAGUACUAAUCUAUGAACAUGCUAUAAAAAACUAUAAAAUUUAACAUUUAUAAUAAAUAUUUAAACCUUU
Long non-coding RNA from Diabrotica virgifera virgifera (western corn rootworm), 420 nucleotides. RefSeq lists it as uncharacterized. The transcript is spliced from 2 exons. NCBI's taxonomy places the organism in Eukaryota, Metazoa, Arthropoda, Insecta, Coleoptera, Chrysomelidae. The record is from RefSeq and is a predicted model, not a curated record.